This 492-nucleotide ribosomal RNA is filed under the name uncultured bacterium. RNAcentral describes it as "partial 16S ribosomal RNA". It matches the Rfam family "Bacterial small subunit ribosomal RNA", at positions 29 to 507 of the family's 1533-position model. The record is from RNAcentral.
AGUGAACGCUGGCGGUAGGCCUAACACAUGCAAGUCGAACGGCAGCACAGUAAGAGCUUGCUCUUACGGGUGGCGAGUGGCGGACGAGUGAGGAAUACAUCGGAAUCUACUUUUUCGUGGGGGAUAACGUAGGGAAACUUACGAUAAUACCGCAUACGACCAACGGGUGAAAGCAGGGGAUCUUCGGACCUUGCGCGAUUGAAUGAGCCGAUGUCGGAUUAGCUAGUUGGCGGGGUAAAGGCCCACCAAGGCGACGAUCCGUAGCUGGUCUGAGAGGAUGAUCAGCCACACUGGAACUGAGACACGGUCCAGACUCCUACGGGAGGCAGCAGUGGGGAAUAUUGGACAAUGGGCGCAAGCCUGAUCCAGCCAUACCGCGUGGGUGAAGAAGGCCUUCGGAUUGUAAAGCCCUUUUGUUGGGAAAGAAAAGCAGCAUGUUAAUACCUCGCUGUUCUGACGGUACCCAAAGAAUAAGCACCGGCUAACUUCGUG